Molecule: ribosomal RNA, 250 nt
Filed under: uncultured prokaryote
Description: partial 16S ribosomal RNA
Rfam family: Bacterial small subunit ribosomal RNA
Source: RNAcentral
UACAGAGGGUGCAAGCGUUGUUCGGAAUUACUGGGCGUAAAGGGCGUGUAGGCGGUUUGAUAAGUCAGAUGUUAAAGACCCGGGCUUAACCUGGGGGCUGCGUUUGAUACUGUUAGGCUAGAGAGCAGGAGGGGAGAGUGGAAUUUCCGGUGUAGAGGUAAAAUUCGUAGAUAUCGGAAGGAACACCAGUGGCGAAGGCGAUUCUCUGGACUGCAACUGACGCUGAGGCGCGAAAGCGUGGGAGCGAACA